RNAcentral lists this ribosomal RNA (253 nucleotides) under uncultured bacterium. Its description in RNAcentral is "partial 16S ribosomal RNA". It matches the Rfam family "Bacterial small subunit ribosomal RNA", at positions 524 to 776 of the family's 1533-position model. The record is from RNAcentral.
UACGCAGGGGGCUAGCGUUGUUCGGAAUUACUGGGCGUAAAGCGCACGUAGGCGGGUUUGUAAGUAGGGGGUGAAAUCCCAGGGCUCAACCCUGGAACUGCCUUCUAAACUGCAAGCCUGGAGGUCAGGAGAGGCGAGUGGAAUACCGAGUGUAGAGGUGAAAUUCGUAGAUAUUCGGUGGAACACCAGUGGCGAAGGCGACUCGCUGGACUGAUACUGACGCUGAGGUGCGAAAGCGUGGGGAGCAAACAGG